UGACAAAAAACUAUUCAGGACACCAUCUC
RNAcentral lists this non-coding RNA (29 nucleotides) under Mus musculus (house mouse). Lineage: Eukaryota; Metazoa; Chordata; Mammalia; Rodentia; Muridae. The record is from RNAcentral.